AUAACUAAGCGGAGGAAAAGAAACCAACCGGGAUUACCCCAGUAACGGCGAGUGAAGCGGUAAAGCCCAGCGCCGAAUCCACCGUGGCUAACGCUCGGCUGGAACUGUGGCGUGCGGGACGUAGCCAGUCGGCUGGAAAGAUACCAAAGUCCCCCCGAGCGGGGCCCUUCCCAUAGCGGGUGCCAGGCCUCUGUCGGUAUCUAUCCCGUCGACCGCUACAGUCUCUGGAGUCGGGUUGCUUGGGAAUGCAGCCCGAAGUGGGAGGUAAACUCCUCCUAAGGCUAAAUACCGGCGCGAGUCCGAUAGCGAACAAGUACCGUGAGGGAAGGU
This 330-nucleotide ribosomal RNA is filed under the name Microchlamylla amabilis. Its description in RNAcentral is "Coryphella amabilis partial large subunit ribosomal RNA". It matches the Rfam family "Eukaryotic large subunit ribosomal RNA", at positions 42 to 364 of the family's 3401-position model. The record is from RNAcentral. Lineage: Eukaryota; Metazoa; Mollusca; Gastropoda; Nudibranchia; Coryphellidae.